UACGGAGGAUGCGAGCGUUAUCCGGAUUUAUUGGGUUUAAAGGGUGCGUAGGCGGGCGCUUAAGUCAGCGGUAAAAUCGCGGGGCUCAACCCCGCCGAGCCGUUGAAACCGGGCGUCUUGAGUUGGAGAGAAGCAGGCGGAAUGCGCGGUGUAGCGGUGAAAUGCAUAGAUAUCGCGCAGAACCCCGAUUGCGAAGGCAGCCUGCCGGCUCCAUACUGACGCUGAGGCACGAAAGCGUGGGGAUCGAACAGG
Molecule: ribosomal RNA, 252 nt
Filed under: uncultured bacterium
Lineage: Bacteria
Description: partial 16S ribosomal RNA
Rfam family: Bacterial small subunit ribosomal RNA
Source: RNAcentral